RNAcentral lists this ribosomal RNA (1101 nucleotides) under Lactiplantibacillus plantarum. RNAcentral describes it as "bacterial SSU rRNA". It matches the Rfam family "Bacterial small subunit ribosomal RNA", at positions 398 to 1487 of the family's 1533-position model. The record is from RNAcentral. Lineage: Bacteria; Bacillati; Bacillota; Bacilli; Lactobacillales; Lactobacillaceae.
CGCGUGAGUGAAGAAGGGUUUCGGCUCGUAAAACUCUGUUGUUAAAGAAGAACAUAUCUGAGAGUAACUGUUCAGGUAUUGACGGUAUUUAACCAGAAAGCCACGGCUAACUACGUGGCCAGCAGCCGCGGUAAUACGUAGGUGGCAAGCGUUGUCCGGAAUUUAUUGGGCGUAAAGCGAGCGCAGGCGGUUUUUUAAGUCUGAUGUGAAAGCCUUUCGGCUCAACCGAAGAAGUGCAUCGGAAACUGGGAAACUUGAGUGCAGAAGAGGACAGUGGAACUCCAUGUGUAGCGGUGAAAUGCGUAGAUAUAUGGAAGAACACCAGUGGCGAAGGCGGCUGUCUGGUCUGUAACUGACGCUGAGGCUCGAAAGUAUGGUGUAGCAAACAGGAUUAGAUACCCUGGUAGUCCAUACCGUAAACGAUGAAUGCUAAGUGUUGGAGGGUUUCCGCCCUUCAGUGCUGCAGCUAACGCAUUAAGCAUUCCGCCUGGGGAGUACGGCCGCAAGGCUGAAACUCAAAGGAAUUGACGGGGGCCCGCACAAGCGGUGGAGCAUGUGGUUUAAUUUGAAGCUACGCGAAGAACCUUACCAGGUCUUGACAUACUAUGCAAAUCUAAGAGAUUAGACGUUCCCUUCGGGGACAUGGAUACAGGUGGUGCAUGGUUGUCGUCAGCUCGUGUCGUGAGAUGUUGGGUUAAGUCCCGCAACGAGCGCAACCCUUAUUAUCAGUUGCCAGCAUUAAGUUGGGCACUCUGGUGAGACUGCCGGUGACAAACCGGAGGAAGGUGGGGAUGACGUCAAAUCAUCAUGCCCCUUAUGACCUGGGCUACACACGUGCUACAAUGGAUGGUACAACGAGUUGCGAACUCGCGAGAGUAAGCUAAUCUCUUAAAGCCAUUCUCAGUUCGGAUUGUAGGCUGCAACUCGCCUACAUGAAGUCGGAAUCGCUAGUAAUCGCGGAUCAGCAUGCCGCGGUGAAUACGUUCCCGGGCCUUGUACACACCGCCCGUCACACCAUGAGAGUUUGUAACACCCAAAGUCGGUGGGGUAACCUUUUAGGAACCAGCCGCCUAAGGUGGGACAGAUGAUUAGGGUGAAGUC